CUCUCUCCCUCUCGCGCACUCUCCCUCUCCCUCUCCCUCUCCCUCAUGGAGAAUCCAGAGGUUUGAAAUUGGGAUAUUUGUGAGAGAAACUUAGAGAUUCAAGGAGUUUCUGUGUAGCGAAGCUCUCUGCGGCUUUAAUGGCGAACCUGCCGCAUCCUUAUGCAAUUCUUUGAAGGGAAUGCUUGCAGAUUUCAGAUCUCUCGUUUCUUCUUUUAAAGGCUGGGGACCAGCUGAUGCAAUCAAUGCCAGGUGGAGUUUGUGAUUCAAGUAGUUAACCAUUUCAAAGACUAAAGCCACCUUCAUUUUUCUUGGAAACUUUUGUGGAGGAAUUGUAAAGCUGUGGAGAAUAUGUACAGUUUACUCAGUUUCCUGUAUCAGUUACACAAAGGAGCUGCUCAUUGUCACAGCCAUGAAGUGUGCUACACAGGUUAACUUUUUGUUGGUUAUUCACUGCUGCAAUUCAAUGCCUGAAGAGAAAAAAGCUAUAUUAAUCGCAGGUGGAGCAGCUUGGGAACUUCCAAUUAUGAUUAUACUUGAAGGUGCAAAGGCAACAACAGAAACUGUAGAUGCUCUGAGGACAGGAGCAUCAGCAAUGAAGUCUAUCCAGAUCUCCUUGCAAGUUAAAUCCUCACCAUCAAAAUUCUCAACACCCAUAUCACAGAUAGUAAUUGGCUAGGGGGUGGAAUUCAUCAAGUAGUUGUAGGAUGGAGGAGUUUAAAAUUCAUCAAGACUCCUCUUCUAAUCCAUCACAUUUAAAGAUUCUAUUCCUUUUUGUUAUUUUGUUUUGUAUUUCCAUUAUC
Magnolia sinica is the source of this 800-nucleotide RNA transcript. RefSeq lists it as uncharacterized. The transcript is spliced from 5 exons. NCBI's taxonomy places the organism in Eukaryota, Viridiplantae, Streptophyta, Magnoliopsida, Magnoliales, Magnoliaceae. The record is from RefSeq and is a predicted model, not a curated record.